UGAGUACGAGAUGCUACGGCAUUGAAGCAGUCUAUGUCAUACUUCCAAGAAAAGCUUGCACUGUCAUAAACAAAGAAUGCCUGUACCAUAACCGACACAGGUGGGUAGGUAGAGUAUACUAAGGGGCGCGAGAUAACUCUCUCUAAGGAACUCGGCAGAAUGACACCGUAACUUCGGGAGAAGGAGUGCCUUAUUUUUAAGGUUGCAAUAACAAGAUCCAAGCAACUGUUUAUCAAAAACACAGGUCUCCGCUAAGUCGUAAGACGAUGUAUGGGGGCUGACGCCUGCCCAGUGCCAGAAGGUUAAAGAAGUUGGUUAGCAUUCGCGAAGCUGAUAACUGAAGCCCUGGUGAACGGCGGCCGUAACAAUAACGGUCCCAAGGUAGCGAAAUUCCUUGUCGGGUAAAUUCCGACCCGCACGAAAGGCGUAAUGAUUUGGAUACUGUCUCGGAGAGGGACUCGGUGAAAUAGACUUGUCUGUGAAGAUGCGGACUACCUGCACCUGGACAGAAAGACCCUAUGAAGCUUUACUGUAACUUGAAAUUGAAAUUGGACUUUAGUUGCGCAGGAUAGGUGGGAGGCGUUGAGAAUAUUCUUGCGGGAGUAUUGGAGCCAUCAGUGAGAUACCACUCUUCUAAUGUUAGAUUUCUAACUUUGUAUCAUUAUCUGGUCAAAGAACAGUUUCAGGCGGGCAGUUUGACUGGGGCGGUCGCCUCCUAAAGGGUAACGGAGGCGCACAAAGGUUUCCUCUGAACGAGUAGAAAUCGUAUCUAGAGUGUAAAGGCAUAAGGAAGCUUGACUGUGAGACCUACAAGUCGAGCAGGGACGAAAGUCGGUCUUAGAGAUCUGACGGUGCUGAGUGGAAAGGCCGUCACUCAACGGAUAAAAGUUACUCUAGGAUAACAGGCUGAUCUCCCCCAAGAGUUCACAUCGACGGGGAGGUUUGGCACCUCGAUGUCGGCUCAUCGCAUCCUGGGGCGGUAGUACGUCCCAAGGGUUGGGCUGCUCGCCCAUGAAAGCGGUACGCGAGCUGGGUUCAGAACGUCGUGAGACAGUUCGGUCCAUAUCCGGUGUAGGCGUUAGAAUAUUGAGAGGAGCCUUCUCUAGUACGAGAGGACCGAGAAGGACAUACCUCUAGUGUACCAGUUAUCGUGCCAACGGUAAACGCUGGGUAGCUAUGUAUGGAGUGGAUAACCGCUGAAAGCAUCUAAGUGGGAAGCCCACCUCAAGAUAAGUAUUCAC
Molecule: ribosomal RNA, 1241 nt
Filed under: metagenome
Description: bacterial LSU rRNA
Rfam family: Bacterial large subunit ribosomal RNA
Source: RNAcentral